UGGGGAAUAUUGCGCAAUGGGCGAAAGCCUGACGCAGCAACGCCGCGUGAGGGAUGACGGCCUUCGGGUUGUAAACCUCUUUCAGCCCGACGAAGCGUGAGUGACUGUAGGGGAAGAAGAAGCACCGGCUAACUACGUGCCAGCAGCCGCGGUAAUACGUAGGGUGCGAGCGUUGUCCGGAACUAUUGGGCGUAAAGGGCUCGUAGGCGGCCUGUCGCGUCUGCUGUGAAAUCCCGGGGCUCAACCCCGGGUCUGCAGUGGAUACGGGCAGGCUAGAGUCCGGCAGGGGAGACUGGAAUUCCUGGUGUAGCGGUGAAAUGCGCAGAUAUCAGGAGGAACACCGGUGGCGAAGGCGGGUCUCUGGGCCGGUACUGACGCUGAGGAGCGAAAGCGUGGGGAGCGAACAGGAUUAGAUACCCUGGUAGUCCACGCCGUAAACGUUGGGCGCUAGGUGUGGGAUUCCUUCCACGGGUUCCGUGCCGUAGCUAACGCAUUAAGCG
Molecule: ribosomal RNA, 500 nt
Filed under: uncultured Actinomycetes bacterium
Lineage: Bacteria; Bacillati; Actinomycetota; Actinomycetes
Description: bacterial SSU rRNA
Rfam family: Bacterial small subunit ribosomal RNA
Source: RNAcentral